Molecule: long non-coding RNA, 1650 nt
Organism: Musa acuminata AAA Group (dessert banana)
Lineage: Eukaryota; Viridiplantae; Streptophyta; Magnoliopsida; Zingiberales; Musaceae
Exons: 2
Source: RefSeq, a predicted model, not a curated record
UGAAGGGAACCUUCAACAUCUAUCACACCCCUCCUUUGGCCCUUCUCAGAAGCCAUCUCCUACCUCUGCACCCUCUCUCUCUCUCUCUCUCUCUACUUUCUUGUUCAUGGGUGUUAAGAGUUUGUAAAGAUAUUAUUACAUUCGUUUCUGACGAUGAAGCUUCUACGACUUUCCAUCCUCGACAAAUCUAAAUAAAUAUCAUCAGAAAAUUAUGUGUUUGGGAUUCACGAAUCCUGAUAUAGUUUUUGUUUACGAUCCCAACAGGAAAAGAAAUCCAACACCACUCAUGUCCCCUAAAUUUGGCAUGGAAAAUAAAAUAGGAUCAUGUCAUGAUUACAUAUUAUGAUGGCACGGUGGAGACUGUAGCAGUGCAUAAGUCGCCACAACACCAACCUCAUAUUAAAGGAAAGGAUGUUCUAAGGGCUUCGACUGCAACACAAACUAUAUCAUGAAUUAUUAGUUUAUCUUUGGCAUCAUCUAAUGUUGCUUCCCGUGCAUGGCACACCAUUUUUGUGUCACAGGCUUCCUUCCUUUGGCUGCUACAGAUGGAGAUCCUCACACUCUCGUCGGCUAUGUCGUGACACGAGGAGGGGUGUGGAAUGUUCCACUCCAACUUUCCUGGAUGUUGGAGGUCUGGAGGGAGGGGUCGACCAUAAAAUGGGAUGCAAUGCAUCCACCCACAGAAGCCGACACAGGUUUCUCUCUUUGUAAGCAAAGCACCAUAAGCACAUCUGGUGUUGCCUUUUCCUCUCUCUCUCUCUCUCUCUCUCUCUCUCUCUCCCUCUCUCUCUCUUUCUCAUCCUUCUCCCCUACAUACAUGCAUGUGAGCAGCAAAGCAUGAGGAGCAGGGACAAACACAUGCACUCGAGUUCUUCUUUUGCUCGAGGAGAUCAAACCUUGUUGUCAUGUUGGCUUUGAGGUUCAAGCAUGGUCUCCAUUCAGACUUUCUCCUUCCCGUUUCCUUCUGGAAACGAUUUCUGCAACGGGAGCUCGGACACUAUUGCUUAGAUUGAGCUCAUCUUGGACUCUCGGUUCCUCGUUCAGGAAUUCAGCCACCGAGUUAGCAGUUCGCCCUCUCGGUUUCAUCGCUUCCGAUCCUAAUCUGGAAAGAACUCAUUUGACUUGGUAAGAUUCCAUAUUGAGAAUCGUCGUCAUUGGUGGGAGUUGAAGACGAUGAUUUGUUCUUCCUGAGAGACACUUAACGCCAAAAGUUCAGAUUGGCAGACAGCUUGACCGAGGUGCUUCGAUGGAAGGAAGAACUCGGAAGGAUCAUCUCGCAGCCGAUUCAAGAACCGUCUAUGGAGGAUCCACCACACCACGAGAACAAAGCCAUACAUCUUCCCCCUCUAAAUAUUUUAGUGCAGAAUCAUUGCUGCUACUUCUUUGCCUCACUGCCUCAUUGCUGAUACUUCCGGUGAUACUGCCUCCGCUGCCGCCGCCACCUCUUGCGCUACUCCUACUCCCAAUCGGCAUACUCGUUUUGCUCAUGAUCUUGGCAUUUAUGCCCUCGGAUGUAAGCAAGAUUGCAUGCCCUUGUGAAUGAGUUGUGGAUUGUCAUCUUGUGUUCAUGUCUUGAAUGAGUCUUUUUCCUGUUCAUUCCUGAUGUAAAUGCAUAAAAUGGUUAUGUAAUAUAUUUCUAAUCAUUUUGUA